Molecule: ribosomal RNA, 425 nt
Filed under: uncultured bacterium
Lineage: Bacteria
Description: partial 16S ribosomal RNA
Rfam family: Bacterial small subunit ribosomal RNA
Source: RNAcentral
GUGGGGAAUAUUGCACAAUGGGGGAAACCCUGAUGCAGCAACGCCGCGUGAGUGAUGACGGCCUUCGGAUUGUAAAGCUCUGUCUUUAGGGACGAUAAUGACGGUACCUAAGGAGGAAGCCACGGCUAACUACGUGCCAGCAGCCGCGGUAAUACGUAGGUGGCAAGCGUUGUCCGGAUUUACUGGGCGUAAAGGGAGCGUAGGCGGAUACUUAAGUGGGAUGUGAAAUACCUGGGCUUAACUUGGGUGCUGCAUUCCAAACUGGGUGUCUAGAGUGUUGGAGAGGAAAGUGGAAUUCCUAGUGUAGCGGUGAAAUGCGUAGAGAUUAGGAAGAACACCAGUGGCGAAGGCGACUUUCUGGACAAUAACUGACGCUGAGGCUCGAAAGCGUGGGGAGCAAACAGGAUUAGAUACCCUAGUAGUCC